RNAcentral lists this ribosomal RNA (395 nucleotides) under uncultured bacterium. Its description in RNAcentral is "partial 16S ribosomal RNA". It matches the Rfam family "Bacterial small subunit ribosomal RNA", at positions 361 to 773 of the family's 1533-position model. The record is from RNAcentral.
AUAUUGGUCAAUGGGGGAAACCCUGAACCAGCAAUGCCGCGUGAGUGACGAAGGUUUUCGGAUCGUAAAGCUCUGUCCUUGGGGAAGAUAAUGACGGUACCCAAGAAGAAAGCCACGGCUAACUACGUGCCAGCAGCCGCGGUAAUACGUAGGUGGCAAGCGUUGUCCGGAAUUAUUGGGCGUAAAGGGCGAGUAGGCGGCCAGUUAUGUCAGAUUUGAAAGGCUAGGGCUCAACCCUAACAUGGCAUUUGAAACUGAUUGGCUUGAGAGUAGGAGAGGGAAGUGGAAUUCCUAAUGUAGCGGUGAAAUGCGUAGAGAUGCGGAGGAAUACCGAUGGCGAAGGCAGCCCCCUGGGAUAAUACUGACGCUCAUGCACGAAAGCGUGGGGAGCAAAC